AAAUUGAAGAGUUUGAUCAUGGCUCAGAUUGAACGCUGGCGGCAGGCCUAACACAUGCAAGUCGAGCGGCAGCGGGAAAGUAGCUUGCUACUUUUGCCGGCGAGCGGCGGACGGGUGAGUAAUGCCUGGGAAAUUGCCCAGUCGAGGGGGAUAACAGUUGGAAACGACUGCUAAUACCGCAUACGCCCUACGGGGGAAAGCAGGGGACCUUCGGGCCUUGCGCGAUUGGAUAUGCCCAGGUGGGAUUAGCUAGUUGGUGAGGUAAUGGCUCACCAAGGCGACGAUCCCUAGCUGGUCUGAGAGGAUGAUCAGCCACACUGGAACUGAGACACGGUCCAGACUCCUACGGGAGGCAGCAGUGGGGAAUAUUGCACAAUGGGGGAAACCCUGAUGCAGCCAUGCCGCGUGUGUGAAGAAGGCCUUCGGGUUGUAAAGCACUUU
Molecule: ribosomal RNA, 441 nt
Filed under: Aeromonas hydrophila
Lineage: Bacteria; Pseudomonadati; Pseudomonadota; Gammaproteobacteria; Aeromonadales; Aeromonadaceae
Description: bacterial SSU rRNA
Rfam family: Bacterial small subunit ribosomal RNA
Source: RNAcentral